AGUGAACGCUGGCGGUAGGCCUAACACAUGCAAGUCGAACGGCAGCACAGUAAGAGCUUGCUCUUACGGGUGGCGAGUGGCGGACGGGUGAGGAAUACAUCGGAAUCUACUUUUUCGUGGGGGAUAACGUAGGGAAACUUACGCUAAUACCGCAUACGACCUACGGGUGAAAGCAGGGGAUCUUCGGACCUUGCGCGAUUGAAUGAGCCGAUGUCGGAUUAGCUAGUUGGCGGGGUAAAGGCCCACCAAGGCGACGAUCCGUAGCUGGUCUGAGAGGAUGAUCAGCCACACUGGAACUGAGAUACGGUCCAGACUCCUACGGGAGGCAGCAGUGGGGAAUAUUGGACAAUGGGCGCAAGCCUGAUCCAGCCAUACUGCGUGGGUGAAGAAGGCCUUCGGGUUGUAAAGCCCUUUUGUUGGGAAAGAAAAGCAGCAGGUUAAUACCCCGCUGUUCUGACGGUACCCAAAGAAUAAGCACCGGCUAACUUCGUG
Molecule: ribosomal RNA, 492 nt
Filed under: uncultured bacterium
Lineage: Bacteria
Description: partial 16S ribosomal RNA
Rfam family: Bacterial small subunit ribosomal RNA
Source: RNAcentral